GACGAACGCUGGCGGCGUGCUUAACACAUGCAAGUGGAGCGACGAACCAGGCUUCGGCCUGGGGCAGAGCCGCGAACGGGUGAGUAACACGUGGGUAACCUGCCCUGAUGAUCGGGACAACCCGGGGAAACCCGGGCUAAUACCGAAUGUGCCCUCCGUCCACAAGGACGGCGGGGAAAGGAAGCUUCGGCCUCCGCAUCGGGAUGGGCCCGCGGCGCAUUAGCUUGUUGGUGAGGUAACGGCUCACCAAGGCAACGAUGCGUAGCUGGUCUGAGAGGACGAUCAGCCACACUGGGACUGAGACACGGCCCAGACUCCUACGGGAGGCAGCAGUGGGGAAUCUUGCGCAAUGCGCGAAAGCGUGACGCAGCAACGCCGCGUGGGGGAAGACGGCCUUCGGGUUGUAAACCCCUUUCAGGAGGGACGAAGGCCGGGUGGUGAAUAGCCAUUCCGGCUGACGGUACCUCCACAAGAAGCCCCGGCUAACUACGUG
Molecule: ribosomal RNA, 493 nt
Filed under: uncultured bacterium
Lineage: Bacteria
Description: bacterial SSU rRNA
Rfam family: Bacterial small subunit ribosomal RNA
Source: RNAcentral